AGGGGUCUUGUUUUGAUAAUAGUCAUUCUAACAGGUGUGAGGUGGUGUCCCAUUGUGGUUUUAAUUUGCGUUUCUCUGAUAAUAGUCAUUUUGAACAUGUUUUCAUGUACCUGUUGAUCAUGUGUGUCUUUGGCAAAAUCUCUCUUCAGACCCUCUGCCCAUUUUUGAUUGGAUUUAUUGCUGUUUAAUUGUAUGAAUUCUUUAUAUUCUGGAUAUUAACCCCUUAUCAGAAACGUGAUUUGUACGUUUUCUCCUACUGCACAGGUUGCCUUUUCAUUUGGUUGAUGGUUUCCUUUGCUGAGCUUUUUAGUUUGAUGUAGUCCCAUUUGUUUAUUUUUGCUUUUGUUGCCUUUGCUUUUGUUGUCAAAUCCAAAAAAAUUAUUGCCAAGACCAACUCAUUCUAAAAACAAACCUUUCCCAUAUGAAGUGUACUGCAAGGUAACUAGGUACUUAUUAUGAGUAAAUUUUUCACUGUGAAGAUAUUCCAACUAAAAGAUGAAGACAGAAGUAAACUGGUAUAAUUUUAAUGAAAUUAAAGAUCUGUAUAAUGAUCAGUGGCUGCUAACACCACAACAGAACCAACCAGAAUUGUGUACCUGUUGGUGGAAGUACAUACCACCUGUUCUUGUCAAAAAAUGAACUUGAAUCAGAUCAAACAGAAAUGCAAGAACACACUAAAUGACAUCACAGGAAUGCAGUCUGUGCAAUGCACAAUGGAGGAAAUUACAGGCCCACUUUCUUCAACAAAUAUUUUGCAAACCAGGGGAAAAAGAGGCAGGGAAACCUAUACUUUGAGUCUUAGGGAACUACGAACCAAUAUAGGAUGUGGCCCUCAUUUGGUUCCUCUUUCUUGAAAAAGUUAUGAAACAAUUUAGGGUCUCUGAACAUUCAAGUGUUUCACAUUAAGCAGUUAAUAUUUUUAGAUGUGCUAUUUUAUAGAAAAACCCCUUUUAGAAGUACAUAAU
Long non-coding RNA from Phyllostomus discolor (pale spear-nosed bat), 965 nucleotides. RefSeq lists it as uncharacterized. Lineage: Eukaryota; Metazoa; Chordata; Mammalia; Chiroptera; Phyllostomidae. The record is from RefSeq and is a predicted model, not a curated record. The transcript has 2 exons.